Molecule: long non-coding RNA, 573 nt
Organism: Dunckerocampus dactyliophorus (ringed pipefish)
Lineage: Eukaryota; Metazoa; Chordata; Actinopteri; Syngnathiformes; Syngnathidae
Exons: 4
Source: RefSeq, a predicted model, not a curated record
GUGUGUCUGUUUGCUAUUACUAAUCAAUCAGCAGACUUUGUGAGAGCCACCGCCGCCGGUGACAACUACUUUUGGACAAAUGAGAAUCCAGAACCUUAUCUUUUUGAGCCUGAAUAUACGGAGGAUGAGCUACAGGUUAUCAGGAAGAACACGAGCGCCUAAGUCCCAGCAGGAAGAACACUGCAUGACGGAUUGCUUCGCAUGACUUCAAGAUGUUGUCAGUCAUGUUGGUUUGUUGUAAAUCUCCGCCUGGUCAGUGACUUCCUGGAAAGACGUCUAGGAUGCUUAAUUGUCCUGCCGUUACAUCUUGUCACAUGAUUUUGCUGCCAUGAAUUGGCCUGGUGAGCAUCGCGCUUUCAUUGUGGAAACGUUUAUCAAAACAAACGAAUCUGUAACUGCAACACAACGAGCGUUCCGUUUGCACUUCAAUCUUGGUAGACAUGAUCCCGUACCAGCUCCAAACACCAUCUUGUUAUGGGUUACCAACUUCUGAGCUACUGGAUCUGCAUCGAGUGUGUGGACAAUAAUGGAUCCCAUUUGACUGAUUUAAUUUUUAAAACAUAAUGAAACAGA